AUUGAACGCUGGCGGCAGGCCUAACACAUGCAAGUCGAACGAGUGGCGGACGGGUGAGUAAUGUCUGGGAAACCGCCCGAUGGAGGGGGAAAAAUACUGGAAACGGUAGCCAAAACCGGAAAUCGGCGGAUGGGCCCAGAUGGGAUUAGCGAGUAGGUGGGGUAAAGGCUCACCUAGGCGACGAUCCCUAGCUGGUCUGAGAGGGUGACCGGCCACACUGGAACUGAGACACGGUCCAGACUCCUACGGGAGGCAGCAGUAGGGAAUCUUGCGCAAUGGGCGAAAGCCUGAUGGAGCCAUGCCGCGUGUAUGAAGAAGGCCUUCGGAUUGUAAAGUUCUUUCAGCGGGGAAGCGUUACCCACAGAGAAAGCACCGGCUAACUCCGUGCCAGCAGCCGCGGUAAUAC
RNAcentral lists this ribosomal RNA (406 nucleotides) under uncultured bacterium. RNAcentral describes it as "partial 16S ribosomal RNA". It matches the Rfam family "Bacterial small subunit ribosomal RNA", at positions 29 to 526 of the family's 1533-position model. The record is from RNAcentral.